Molecule: transfer RNA, 82 nt
Filed under: Pontibaca methylaminivorans
Lineage: Bacteria; Pseudomonadati; Pseudomonadota; Alphaproteobacteria; Rhodobacterales; Roseobacteraceae
Description: alpha proteobacterium GRP21 tRNA
Rfam family: tRNA
About the family: Transfer RNA (tRNA) molecules are approximately 80 nucleotides in length.
Source: Rfam by way of RNAcentral
GCGGGUGUGGCGGAAUUGGUAGACGCACCAGAUUUAGGUUCUGGCGCCGCAAGGCUUGGGGGUUCAAGUCCCUUCACCCGCA